AGAGUUUGAUCAUGGCUCAGGACGAACGCUGGCGGCGUGCCUAACACAUGCAAGUCGAACGGGGUCCAACCAGUCGCAAGACUGGGGAAGACCUAGUGGCGAACGGGUGAGUAACACGUGAGGAACCUGCCCCGAAGACCGGGAUAACCCUCCGAAAGGAGAGCUAAUACCGGAUACCCCAACCAGAUCGCAUGUUCUGGUUCGGAAAUGGAUUCCGCUUCGGGAGGGCCUCGCGGCCUAUCAGCUUGUUGGUGGGGUAACGGCCCACCAAGGCUUCGACGGGUAGCUGGUCUGAGAGGACGAUCAGCCACACUGGGACUGAGACACGGCCCAGACUCCUACGGGAGGCAGCAGUGGGGAAUCUUGCACAAUGGGCGAAAGCCUGAUGCAGCAACGCCGCGUGGGGGAUGAAGGCCCUCGGGUUGUAAACCCCUUUCAGCAGGGACGAAUCUGACGGUACCUGCAGAAGAAGCCCCGGCCAACUACGUGCCAGCAGCCGCGGUAACACGUAGGGGGCAAGCGUUGUCCGGAUUUAUUGGGCGUAAAGAGCUCGUAGGCUGUUCGAUAAGUCGGGUGUGAAACCUCCAGGCUCAACCUGGAGACGCCACCCGAUACUGUCAUGACUAGAGUCCGGUAGGGGAGCGUGGAAUUCCUGGUGUAGCGGUGAAAUGCGCAGAUAUCAGGAGGAACACCAGCGGCGAAGGCGGCGCUCUGGGCCGGUACUGACGCUGAGGAGCGAAAGCGUGGGUAGCAAACAGGAUUAGAUACCCUAGUAGUCC
Molecule: ribosomal RNA, 779 nt
Filed under: uncultured bacterium
Lineage: Bacteria
Description: bacterial SSU rRNA
Rfam family: Bacterial small subunit ribosomal RNA
Source: RNAcentral